UACACAAAUUCUUGACACCAAAAACUGGAGUUCAAGAGUCUUGAAUUGGGUGUGAGACACAGAGGACUGGACAGGACCCUGAGAUCAUCUGGCCUUUGCCUGAGGUCCCUGGUAGCGUGCUUUUAGUGUUUUCCCAACAUCAUUAUGUCUUCAGUCUCUCAAGGGUUCCCCGAGAAAUCCGUCGAUGUGAUUCCCGGGUGCCUUGAGAAGCUGGUAACCGAUUCUGGUGCCUCACCUGUCCAUAUUACUGUGAUGUUGGGAAGCAAGUCCUCGCCAACAGUCUGCAGAACAGGAAGACGGGCGGCUCCCCCAAGAAGCGGUAAAUCUCAUUGGUUACGGUGACCUGAGCAUGUGCGAAUGAAGAGAAGGCCUCACUGUCAGCCUGACACAAGGAGUGAUCGAUGUCGUCGAACAGGAUGGCGAAGGCCUGGCAACCGAGCUUGCGUUUCAGGAGAGUCAGGUCACAGGAGGACGAGAAGACGAUGUCCUGACCGGGAGAGAGGGCGUAAACGAACCUUAGGCCUCUCGAUUGGGCCUCCGUGAUAAGAGUGCGCAGUUGACCUGAGAGGACAGCAUUUGAAGACGGGAGAAGAAGAAGCUGGACUCGACAGAAGGACGAAUGGUUCUUACCUUCCUCUUCAGGCGGACCGCGCUUCCUGGACAGAUGGUACAUGUUGUGCACCCAUCCACCAUCUCCACUCGGUUCCCACUAUGCCAAACUUACGCAACCCUGAAUACCGCCUACUUUUGAGCCGAAAGAAGUGGAUCUAUAAAUAACCGCAGUGCCCACUCCACGCCUGGCUGCUGCUACG
Molecule: long non-coding RNA, 812 nt
Organism: Phycodurus eques (leafy seadragon)
Lineage: Eukaryota; Metazoa; Chordata; Actinopteri; Syngnathiformes; Syngnathidae
Exons: 4
Source: RefSeq, a predicted model, not a curated record